This 117-nucleotide non-coding RNA is filed under the name Butyrivibrio fibrisolvens. RNAcentral's name for it is "drum RNA". It matches the Rfam family "drum RNA". Rfam says of the family: Firmicutes, Bacteroidetes (1 example), Proteobacteria (2 examples), Spirochaetes (2 examples). Terminator (Clostridia) The record is from Rfam by way of RNAcentral. RNAcentral also lists the same sequence under 1 other name. Lineage: Bacteria; Bacillati; Bacillota; Clostridia; Lachnospirales; Lachnospiraceae.
AGGUGAUGAAAGUUAUAGCCCCGCUGGAAAAGGGUGAUAACAGGAGCCUUACUGAAGGGUUUGACAUUCAGGCCACAAUCCAGCUAGAUAGUUUACUAUCGAAAGAAAAUGUCAUUA